This is a non-coding RNA of Parasteatoda tepidariorum (common house spider), 318 nucleotides long. The record is from RefSeq and is a predicted model, not a curated record. NCBI's taxonomy places the organism in Eukaryota, Metazoa, Arthropoda, Arachnida, Araneae, Theridiidae.
AAACAUUUUCUUUUUUUAAUUUCAUUAUUAUUCUUUUAUCUUAUUUUUUUUUAUCUGAUUAACUUCUUCAGCAGAUCUCCCCAGAAGCUUAACGUUCAUCAGCUCGAAGGUGUUCGUAUCUUGUUUCUAAACAGCCAGCACUUUCUCUACAGGGUUCUAUCCGCUGCUUUUCAUUGAAUACUUUUUUCAUCGUUUAUCCGAGGACGUGACGCAUGAAAUUAAGUAAUAUAUUUGUGUUGGCUUCAUGACAACCCCCCGAGGAGUGGCGACUAAACAUCUCACGAAAACACCUUCCCCUCUUAGAGUAUAUCUCAGAAU